UGGCCCGGUGGCGUAGCGGUUAACUACGCUGCCAGGUGUCCCAGAAGGGGCGCGGGUUCGAAUCCCGCAGGGCUCAUUUAACCAAUUUCCACUGUUAAAUCACCAAACAGUACCGGAAGUCCCCGGGUUCGGAGGCAUUCGGGCGCUAAUUCUCACUGAUCUUGUGGGGCUAGAACCCCCCGGGCGCUUCAAGUUAGAUCAGUACUAGAUAGGUAUAGUGGGGUGGUGGUGGCGUGGUGGGUGGAGCAACCCGCGGGAUAGCGAAUCAUCGUCAAGCUUAACCGGCCAGGGAUUCAUUGCACUGCCCCAUUCAGCCCCACUAAUCUAUCUAGGCACCCCUAAAUUCCGGGGAAUAGAUUUAAAAACUAUCCGAUUAGGACACCCCGGGCCUAGCGAGGACCUAGGUGAGACGAGGCCUAGGCGCCCUUAAUAGGUGGUUAGUGCAAGCAAGGCCGUGACGGCCAAUUGGUAGGCUGGAAUGCCGAGAUUGGCAGCCGGAAGGUCGGGGGAUUUAACUAGAAUUGGGUAGCUCUGGCGUUAUUCUUAGUGAGGAUCCCACUUAGGUAGGCUAGUUAAGGAACCCGGGUGGGCGGCAGUGCUCUAGGGGGAAUGAUAACCCCUAGAGUGGCCCGAGAGGACAGAGGCGGCGGCCGGUUAUAUAGGGUGUUAAAAUAUGUAUAUAGCUCAAGGUGUAAACUGCAGGG
RNAcentral lists this small RNA (704 nucleotides) under Histoplasma capsulatum var. duboisii H88. RNAcentral describes it as "Histoplasma capsulatum H88 hypothetical RNA". The record is from RNAcentral. Lineage: Eukaryota; Fungi; Ascomycota; Eurotiomycetes; Onygenales; Ajellomycetaceae.